Myxocyprinus asiaticus (Chinese sucker) is the source of this 1280-nucleotide long non-coding RNA. RefSeq lists it as uncharacterized. The record is from RefSeq and is a predicted model, not a curated record. The transcript is spliced from 5 exons. Lineage: Eukaryota; Metazoa; Chordata; Actinopteri; Cypriniformes; Catostomidae.
UAAAUGUAUGUAAUCAUGUAAAAGCAUAUGUAUCUAACAUAAUUCUGUAUUUUCAGCCAAGCAGAAUUAUGAAUAAUUCCAUUUGGUGUCACACUCUUAGGAAAAAAGGUUCUUUGGGGUUCUAUAUAGAACCCUAUGGUUCUUUACUCAGCUCUAAAGAACGCUUUCUGCCAAAAAGGUUCUAUUUACAAAGAUUUACAGAAAAAAAGAACGUCCUUUGGGUUGACAGUUGCUUAAUGUGAAUAUGUGUGUUUAUGUAUAAAUUACAUUAUUGAAAGUUUUCUUUAUAAAUUGUUUUGAACGCUACACUACAUUCCUUUUGCAUCUGCAUUUCAUAUUGAAGAAAAAUAUUUUUUUUUACAAUGUACUUCUACAUCUUUGGGUUUGAUUAGAAAAGAAUAAAUGACAGAAGAUCAGAUCCAAUGUCCUUUCCCUUUUAGAUGACAGGUUUAUCUUAGUAUUAAUAUACAGUCUAUGGUAUAGUCUAUUCUUGACUCAUAAUUCAACAAAUGAUGCAAAAAAUUUUGUUUAUCAUAAACAGCAAACAACUUGAGUGCGUAGCGCUAUAAGUAAGAACUAUAAAUUAAUUUGUAGAUUAAUAUAUUUUUUUUCUUUUUUAUUUUGACCUAACUCUUUGUCAUUUAUGACUUACACAUUUAUUUCAGCAAGCACAAAGAAUAAAUGUUGACAAAACUGUCCAGGCCUGUGAUAUUCUCCACCAGGAGUUUCCAGGAGCACAUCACAGCAUUGAAUUAAGCUAACUGCACUGAUUAAUCAAGCUCUAUUCAAGAGUGUGAAUAUGUCAAAUGUCCAAAGUCAAAGAGAGGAAGUGAUGGAAAUGUUUAAUUUCUCAACUUCAAAGACCUUCACCUAACUCAGAGCACUUCUGAAGUUCUGGACAUCACAUCAUCAGAGCCAUGACAAGUGAAAGUCAAAAGGGACAUCUGACUUCAAAACAAUGGCAUAAACAAUAUCAUUAAAGUGGCUCUGGAGUGCAGCAUUACUAGUCAUGAUCAGCACAUCCAUCCUCAACCUGAUCUUUCAAAUGGUGUCCAGACCCCUCAGAGAGUGCAAAGAGUCGGCAUCAAACUGAUGACAUGGAGAUGGCCGAAGUGAAGUUUUGUAUAAUUUGUUGUAUCAAAAAGACCUCACUCAGUUUGUCAGACCAGUGGCAACAAAAUGAUUCUGUAUCUGCCCCAGUGCUAAAAUUGUUUAAUAGCUUUUCAUUGGUCAUUUGUUUUUAUUUAGUUAUUUAGUUUUUAACUUGUUUAUGAAUCUUA